UACGUAGGGCGCGAGCGUUGUCCGGAAUUAUUGGGCGUAAAGGGCUCGUAGGCGGCUUGUCACGUCGGGUGUGAAAGACCGGGGCUUAACUCCGGUUCUGCAUUCGAUACGGGCUAGCUAGAGUGUGGUAGGGGAGAUCGGAAUUCCUGGUGUAGCGGUGAAAUGCGCAGAUAUCAGGAGGAACACCGGUGGCGAAGGCGGAUCUCUGGGCCAUUACUGACGCUGAGGAGCGAAAGCGUGGGGAGCGAACAGG
RNAcentral lists this ribosomal RNA (253 nucleotides) under uncultured bacterium. RNAcentral's name for it is "partial 16S ribosomal RNA". It matches the Rfam family "Bacterial small subunit ribosomal RNA", at positions 524 to 776 of the family's 1533-position model. The record is from RNAcentral.